This is a transfer RNA of Loxodonta africana (African savanna elephant), 72 nucleotides long. It matches the Rfam family "tRNA". Rfam says of the family: Transfer RNA (tRNA) molecules are approximately 80 nucleotides in length. Their secondary structure includes four short double-helical elements and three loops (D, anti-codon, and T loops). The record is from Rfam. NCBI's taxonomy places the organism in Eukaryota, Metazoa, Chordata, Mammalia, Proboscidea, Elephantidae.
GGGGGUGUAGCUCAGUGGUAGAGCAUGUGCUUAGCAUGCUUGAGGCCCUGGGUUUAAUUCCUAGCACCUCCA